Molecule: transfer RNA, 76 nt
Filed under: Eutrema salsugineum
Lineage: Eukaryota; Viridiplantae; Streptophyta; Magnoliopsida; Brassicales; Brassicaceae
Rfam family: tRNA
About the family: Transfer RNA (tRNA) molecules are approximately 80 nucleotides in length. Their secondary structure includes four short double-helical elements and three loops (D, anti-codon, and T loops). Further hydrogen bonds mediate the characteristic L-shaped molecular structure. tRNAs have two regions of fundamental functional importance: the anti-codon, which is responsible for specific mRNA codon recognition, and the 3' end, to which the tRNAs corresponding amino acid is attached (by aminoacyl-tRNA synthetases). tRNAs cope with the degeneracy of the genetic code in two manners: having more than one tRNA (with a specific anti-codon) for a particular amino acid; and 'wobble' base-pairing, i.e. permitting non-standard base-pairing at the 3rd anti-codon position.
Source: Rfam by way of RNAcentral
GUCGUUGUAGUAUAGUGGUAGGUAAGUAUUCCCGCCUGUCACGCGGGUGACCCGGGUUCGAUCCCCGGCAACGGCG